RNAcentral lists this long non-coding RNA (7332 nucleotides) under Capsicum annuum. Its description in RNAcentral is "long non-coding RNA (CANN_LNC008869)". Lineage: Eukaryota; Viridiplantae; Streptophyta; Magnoliopsida; Solanales; Solanaceae. The record is from RNAcentral.
AUCGACAAAACUUCCAUGAUUCUCGACACUAUAUUAUGCUUACAAAUUAUUUUCGAUGGAAUUUUUCCAUAACACAUUCAAAGGGUGAUUUUUGCAUGGAAUAUCCUUAACCCAUGAAUUUUAGUAGUGAAAUUAUGUCAUUAUCUCAUGUUUAACUUUUCCCAUGCUUUAACUCUUGAACCCAAUGUGUUUGAUGAAAUACUUAAAUAAUUGGAUUUUGAACAAUGACUAUUUAUUACAUGUUUAUAAUAAAAUUACAUGUUUACAAUGAAUUACCUCCAUGAAACUCUUAUGAAUUUCAAUCAUGUGUUACAUUUUCAAGAGUUUGAUAGAAAGAUCCCUAACAAGUUUGAAAGUUGAAGUAUGUUUAUCAAUACCUUGGUAAUUUAAUUUCGUUUCAAGUUAUGAUUUCAAUUGUUUUCACGUGAAAUGCAUUAUAGUAUGUUUUAAAUAUUGUAGUUUGCAUAUCAUGUUCAUGCGAUUCAGAAUAAAACCCUCAGUUUAUGAUUUGGUCAUGUGAACGUGCUGUCUUAUCAUGUUUAAAAUCACCCCCAUUUUAAAGUCUUGACCCCUAUGUGUUUGAUGAAAUAGGUAAGUGAAUAAUUAUGAAAAAUGAUUUCCUCCCAUGAUUCCAAAGCUUUCUUGUGUCCCUUUCAUUAUUGUUAUCGAGUCCUGGGGGUUAUGAAUACCCAAAAUUUAGCUGUUUACUUUGUCUUAGUAUUUUCAUAAUGGUUUCAAACACGUAUAAGGAUUAUUAAUUCAGCCAGUUAUCGUGUCAGUUAAACUUAGACCAGUUCAGUAAUCCGAGUCAGUUCCUUUUUUAGUUAAACUUUGUUCAGUCCUAUAAUCAGUGUCAGUUCAGUUAAGAGUAGGAUUCAGCACCGAGCAAACCCAGGGAUAGGGGUAUUACUGUUAGUUUAGGGUUUGACCCUUAGUAGUAAACCAUGAGUUACAGAACUACGUAGCUAGCGUAGAUUUGAGAUGUCUUCCUACUAGUUUAGGGUUGACCAUAUCUUAUAAGUCUUCCUAUUAGUUUAGAGUUGACAAGGUGUCUUCUUGCUAGUUUAGGGUUGAACCAACCAUUGUUAGUACCCAUGGAACGGUACUAGCACCCUUCCAACAGGGUCAUAGGUUAAACCCCUAUCAGCUCAAAUUUGUGGUAUGUCGGUUAGAUGAUACCUCCCGCAGUUUCAGUUUUAGUAAUCAAUCUAAUACUCAAUUCAGUUUUUCUCGACCAUAACAUACAGUUUAUCAUUUAUUCAGUUAUUAGAUUUUAGUAUUUUAGUUUACAGACUAUCUUAGAUUUUACAGCAUUCACGCAUGCAUAUCAAUUAUUCUGUUACCUCAUGCUACUCAUUUAGUUAGUUGUUACUCAUGCGCAUAACCCAUGCAUAACUGCCUAACCUCAUCUAGCAUACCUGUACAUUCAAAGUAUUGAUCGCAUACUAGUUUCCUACGCUAUGAUGUCUCAUAUUAUAGGUUCGGACGCUCAGGUUCCUGACCGCACUUAGACAUUCCAGCACUUCAGCAGUAGCAGUAGUGAGUCCUCAUAUUUUGAGGGCCAGUUAUGCUUAUUUUAGUGUUUUCAGUUUAGUAGUCAGUUGGUUCCUAUCCUAUCAACUCUUAUUCAGUUAGUUUUAUAGGCUUUUGGACACUUCAGGCAGGCAAUUUGUCAUUACUUUUAUCAGUUUUCAGACAGUUGUUUUCUGCUAGUUGUUUUCAAACUUAUGAUUCAAAAAUGAUUUAGUAUUUAAAUUCUUAUGGUGAAUUCAGUUAUGCCAUAAAUGUGUAUUUUGUUAUUAUUAUUCAGGGCUUACAAUAGGUACUAGCUCAUAGGUUAGCUUGUGGUCACUUAUGACUGUAAGCACCGUAUGGAGUCUAGGGUGUACUCCUGGGGCGUUACAAACUUGGCAUUAGAUCCUAAGAUUUUAAAGUUUCCUAGGAAGUCUAGAAUUCACGUUGAGUAGAGUCUUGUGCAUGGGUGUAAAGUGCGCUAUACUUAUGAACAAGAGGCUACAAAACAUUUUAUAAAGAGUUUUCCUUCUUUCAGUGUUCAUGUCGUGCAAAUGAGCAUGAGAUUAAUUUAAACUCUCUUUCUAAUUGAAUCUUCUUCCCAUUUAUAGAACAUACCUCCCAGAAAGACUAACGAAAUAAGAAAUAGAAAUCAGCCCGUACCUCCGCCCGUUCAGAAAGAUCCCCUGAAUGAGCAUGUUUUCCAUGCUGAGUUCAGAGCUACAUUCACCACUUCAACCCACUUAGUAACAACUCAAAACAAACAACAGGUUGCUAUCCCAUCCGAUCAGUGGCUAAUACCGCCGCAGCUAUAAUUUGGGAUUUCACUCGGAUGAAUCCUCCUUUAUUUUUGGGAUUCAAGUCUGAUGAGGAUCCACAUGAGUUUCCUGACAUGGUUUAGAAGGUUACUGAUAUUAUGGGUGUCCCUUCUAGUGACAGUGGAGAGUUGGAUGCUUAACAGUUGUAGGAUGUAGCUCAUACCUGGUAUAAGUAGUGAAAGGAGGAUAGAGGCACAGAUACAGGGCCUAUAGAGUGGGAGAUGUUUGCCAUGGCCUUUUUAGAUAGGUUCUUUCCUUUAAAGUUGAGGGAAUCUAAGGUGAUGGAGUUUAUUAAUCUAAAACAGGUUAGUAUAAGUGUUAAGGAGUAUUCGCUUAAGUUCACUUAGUUGGCAAGGUAUGCUCCUAAUGUGGUGUCUAAUAACAGGUGUAGAAUGAGUAAGUUUGUUUCUGUUGUAGCUGAUAGUGUAGUCAAGGAGUGUAGGACUGCUAUGUUGAUUAAGGAGAUUGACUUGUCUAGGCUUAUAUUCCAUGCUCAGCAGAUCAAGGAGAAGAAGGCUAAGGAGAAAGAGAAAGAGAGUAAGAGGGCUAGGACAGGUAGUUUUAGUUUUGCUCAGCCAGGGUUAGAGGGUGGUAAACAUUCUCAAUUCCAUCAGAAGUGUUCAUCCCCAACUCAAUAUUCAUCUAGUGCUCUAGUACCAAAGUUCAGGAAUGACGGUCGAGAUGGGGCACCAGGCUCCAAGACCCAUGGUAGAGGGAACAGUGGUCGUACCCAUCCGUUUUACGAUGAAUAUGGUAAGAAUCGUAAAGGUGUGUGUAGAGAUAGCUAUGAUGUGUAUUUUGGAUGUGGAGAGCCAUACCACAGAGUCAAAAAAAGUACUAAAGGUUGGUCAACGAAGUAAGCACAAUCGUUCAUUAGCUCCAAUAGGUCGCCCGACUCAGCAGGGUACCACUUUCCAUGCAAUCAGUGGUCAAAGACAGAACAGACUUUAUGGACUCCAGUCAUGACAUGAUUAGGAAAGUUCUCCUGAUGUGUUUACGGGUAUGGUACAAGCCUUUAAUAGUCUUGUGUAUGUUUUAGUAGACCCCGAAACUUCACUACGUUUUUGUAACCCUCUAAAUAGUGGUUAAAUUUGGUGUCAGUCCUUAUACUCUAGUAAAUCCCUUCUUAAUAUCUAGUACCACAGACUUAGAAUAAUGGCUUUAAGCUAAGGGGGAGAUGGUAGGAUGAGUAACCAAGUCAGGCUCUCAGAUCCUAGUAGUGAUGCCAGUAUGUGUGAAAAGUUGUAGGGAGGAAGAUGCCUGGGGCAUUCUUAUUUUAGUCUUUGUGCUUCAGUUAUCACGAUAUCUGCUCAUGCCUUACAUGUCAUCUCUAUGAUCAUAGCUCAUAUUUGUGCAUCUUAUAAAAAAUCUUAUAUUCUCUCAGUUCCUAGUAGAGUUCCAUUUUGCUCAGCAGUACGGAUCAUGUUCCAUAACUUUAUGAAAUCCAAAUUCAGGUCAUGCAGCUCAUGACUCAUGUACUCAUGUUUUACAGUAAGUUCAGUUCCAGUACUCAUGCUACACUCUUAAUGACCUGCAAAAUUUAGAUUCAUGUCAUGCAAGUCCUCAACUUAAACCUCUUUGAUGAAUUCAUGUCAUUGACCCUCUAUUCCUCAUACCUCAGUUUCAUAUUCCAGGUAUUCAGUCAUGAUUUAGUCUGUAAGUAUUCUGUACAUUAUCUUAGUCUUUCUUCAGUAUUUCAGCCUUGUUAGUAUAUUUCGGGUGACAUAAUAUCCCAAGGGAGAGAUGCACUAUAAUUCCCCAAGCUUUCAUGUACUAAACCUCCCAUCUUCUCUUUAUGUAACAAGAUCGUGCUUGAAGUAAUAGGUACUCAUAAGUUGACUCUCUUGUUUAUAUCUCAUCCUUAUAACCAUUCUCAUGUCAUGGACUGUAUCCAAGAAAAUUAGUUUAGUUCAUGAUAUUCAGUUCAUGUAUCAUAUUUCAGACCGAGAUAUGUUCUUAUGUUCCCAUUCAUGCAUGUUAAGUCUAUGAUAUCAGAUUCUUCAGUAUUCUCAGCAUAACCAAUGAGAGCCUUAUAACCAUUCUCAUGUCAUGUAAUGUAUCCAAGAAAAUCAAUUUAGUUCAUGAUAUUCAGUUCAUGUAUCAUGUUUCAGAUUGAGUUAUGUUCUCAUGUUCCCAUUCAUGCAUGUUUAGUAUAUGAUCUCAGAUUCUUCAGUAUUCUCAGCAUAACUAACCUCAUUCGAGGACAAAUGUUCCCAAGAAAGAGAUAUUGUAAUACCCCGUAGGCUUCUAAGCUAAAAAAUGGACUUUCACUCCUACGAGUGUAAACUCUAGUCCCUUGAUUCAUUCUUGGAUCCACAUUUCAUGAUCAUUAACCUAGUGUGAAGAAAUAUUAUGAGGUGGCAAAGAUAUUCAUAAGUGUCACUUAGAGCAAAUUGAACUAAGAGCCCUUGAUUCGGCUAAUUUUUGGUGUUCAAUUUUACAAGGAUCAUCUUUGAAUGAGUAUAACUUUAUGUAUAUGUUAAAUUUGUCAGAAUAAAACCCAUCAAAUUGUAGAUAAUAGAAUUACCUUUCAAACGAUACAAAUUUUGCUUUAAUCCAACACCCAAGCGAAAAGUUAUGGCUUUGCAAAGGGGCGUGCGUCGCCUAACAAUCAAGAACGUUCACCGAAAAGGGUUUGCCAUAGGAUGUGCGACGUAAACCUUAAGGUUUCCCAUAAAGUAUGUGACGCAAACCUUAAGGUUUUCCAUAGCUUGUGCGACGCAAACCCCAUGGCACAACGACCUAGAGAUUUCGUUUUUGAGUUAUUUCUCGGGAAACUAAGUCAUUUGACACCUCUUACACAUCCCUAAACAUAACUACAUGAUAUUUAUAGAUCCUAAACAUGUUUUAACCCUAAUAACAUCAUCAGUUUAUCAUCUAAAACACAAUAGGAGAAAAAAAAUUAGGGUUAGCACAAUCAAGCUCAAAGGUUCAAUCGUUCCACAAUUUCUCCAUCAUUAAGGUAUGUUAGAUGUUCAUCCACGGGUCCUUUUCAUCCAUGGAGUCCAAGAAUCCAUUUUCAAGUUUAAAGUAUUGAUCUUUACAUAUUAUUAAGAAUUAUAUCGACAAAACUUUCAUGAUUCUCGACACUAUAUUAUGAUUACAAAUUGUUUUCGAUGGAAUUUUUCCAUAACACAUUCGAAGGGUGAUUUUUGCAUGGAAUAUCCUUAACCCAUGAAUUUUAGUAGUGAAAUUAUGUCAUUAUCUCAUGUUUAACUUUUCCCAUGAUUUAACUCUUGAACCCAAUGUGUUUGAUGAAAUACUUAAAUAAUUGGAUUUUGAACAAUGACUAUUUAUUACAUGUUUAUAAUAAAAUUACAUGUUUACAAUGAAUUACCUCCAUGAAACUCUUAUGAAUUUCAAUCAUGUGUUACAUUUUCAAGAGUUUGAUAGAAAGAUCCCUAACAAGUUUGAAAGUUGAAGUAUGUUUAUCAAUACCUUGGUAAUUUAAUUUCGUUUCAAGUUAUUAUUUCAAUUGUUUUCAUGUGAAAUGCAUUAUAGUAUGUUUUAAAUAUUGUGGUUUUCAUAUCAUGUUCAUGCGAUUCAGAAUAAAACCCUCAGUUUAUGAUUUGGUCAUGUGAACGUGCUAUCUUAUCAUGUUUAAAAUCACCCCCAUAUUAAAUUCUUGACCCCUAUGUGUUUGAUGAAAUACGUAAGUGAAUAAUUAUGAAAAAUGAUUUCCUCCCAUGAUUCCAAAGCUUUCUUGUGUCCCUUUCAUUAUUGUUAUCGAGUCCUGGGGAUUAUGAAUACCCAAAAUUUAGCUGUUUACUUAGUCUUAGUAUUUUCAUAAUGGUUUCAAACACGUAUAAGGAUUAUUAAUUCAUCCAGUUAUCGUGUCAGUUAAACUUAGACCAGUUCAGUAAUCCGAGUCAGUUCCUUUUUUAGUUAAACUUUGUUCAGUCCUAUAAUCAGUGUCAGUUCAGUUAUGAGUAGGAUUCAGCACCGAGCGAACCCAGAGAUGGGGGCAUUACUGUUAGUUUAGGGUUUGACCCUUAGUAGUAAACCCUGAGUUACAGAACUACGUAGCCAGCGUAGAUUUGAGAUGUCUUCUUGCUAGUUUAGGGUUGACAUAUAUCUUAUGAGUGUUCCUAUUAGUUUAGAGUUGACAAGGUGUCUUCUUGCUAGUUUAGAGUUGAACCAGCCAUUUUUAGUACCCAUGGAACGGUACUAGCACCCUUCCAACAGGGUCACAGGUUAGACCCCUAUCAACUCAAAUUUGGGGUAUGUCGGUUAGAUGAUACCUCCCACAGUUUCAGUUUUAGUAAUCAGUCCACUAAUCAAUUCAGUUUUGCUCGACCAUAACAUACAACUUAUUAUUUAUUCAGUUAUUAGAUUGCAGUAUUUCAGUUUACAGACUAUUUUAGAAUCAUGUUAUAUGCUUGGUCAUGCAUUCUCAGAUUUUACAACAUUCACGCAUGCAUAUCAGUUAUUCUGUUACCUCAUGCUACUCAUUCAGUUAGUUGUUACUCAUGCACAUAACCCAUGCAUAACUGCCUAAUCUUAUCUAGCAUACCAGUAAGUUCAAAGUACUCACCGUAUACAUAUUUCUUGCGUUAUGAUGUCUUAUAUCAUAGGUACGAAUGCUCAGGUUCCCCACCGUACUUAGACAUUCCAGUGCAUCAGCAGCAACAAUAGUGGUGUGUCCUCAUAUUUCGAGGACCAGUUACAUUAUUUUAAGCAUUUUCAGUUCAGUAGUCAAUUGGAGUUAGUUGGGGCUUGUCCCAUCAACUCUUAUUCAGUCGGUUUUAGAGACUUUCGGACACUUCAAACGAUUAGUCAGUUUGUCAUUACUUUUAUUAGUUUUCAGGCUGUUGUUUUCUGCUAGUUGUUUUCAGACAUGAUUCAGAAAUAUUUUAGUAUUUAAAAACUUUUGGCGAAUUCAGUUAUUCCACAUAUGUGUAUUUUGUUAUUAUUAUUUAGGGCUCACAGCAGGUACCAAGUCAUGGGUUAGCUUGUGGUCACACGUGACCAUAAGCACCAUAUGGCGUCUAGGGUGUACUCC